UAUUGCACAAUGGGGGAAACCCUGAUGCAGCGACGCCGCGUGAGUGAAGAAGUAUUUCGGUAUGUAAAGCUCUAUCAGCAGGGAAGAAAAAAGACGGUACCUGACUAAGAAGCCCCGGCUAACUACGUGCCAGCAGCCGCGGUAAUACGUAGGGGGCAAGCGUUAUCCGGAUUUACUGGGUGUAAAGGGAGCGUAGGCGGCCUGGCAAGUCUGGUGUGAAAUACCGGGGCCCAACCCCGGGACUGCAUUGGAAACUGCCAGGCUGGAGUGUCGGAGGGGCAGGCGGAAUCCCUGGUGUAGCGGUGAAAUGCGUAGAUAUCAGGAGGAACACCGGUGGCGAAGGCGGCCUGCUGGACUGCGACUGACGUUGAGGCCCGAAAGCGUGGGGAGCAAACAGG
Molecule: ribosomal RNA, 398 nt
Filed under: uncultured bacterium
Lineage: Bacteria
Description: bacterial SSU rRNA
Rfam family: Bacterial small subunit ribosomal RNA
Source: RNAcentral